This 387-nucleotide long non-coding RNA is filed under the name Felis catus (domestic cat). RNAcentral describes it as "lncRNA (ENSFCAG00000051315.1)". The record is from RNAcentral. Lineage: Eukaryota; Metazoa; Chordata; Mammalia; Carnivora; Felidae.
GUUUAGGUUAAAUGUAAACUUUCAAAAUCACACUUGUUUGGUAAGAAGUUCCGCUCUAUGACGUCACAGUGACUCGCUUGAUAAUGCGAGUCUUCACCCAUCACCGGACGCUGCCUUCUGAAGAGUUGAUUCCAUAAGCGAGAAUAUAGAGCUUGCAGAAAUCUUCCUUCUUUCAGAGGCCUGAGACAUCUGAACCCAGUUCUCUCUCCGUCGAUGCCAGCUCCUCUUACCCACCCGUCAUCUGCAUCUUCUAGGGCUCACAGUGGAUAUUCCCAGUGGCUGAGGGAGAUAAUGGCUAGAGUAAGAGUGCCGGCACCAACCCGUGUGAAAAGAGCACACAGAAUCGCUCUGGUUUUGAGAUACAGGUCCUCACCAAUCAUCUGCUGA